AUGGCGGUGCCAUCAGCGGGCUCCAGGGUUAAGGCCCGGGAAAGGGCAGGAAUCCUCCCCGGCUGCCGGGAGGGAUGCAGGGGGAGAGGGGAGAGGGUCAGGCGGGGAUCCGGUUACUCGGCCGGAUCCCUUUCAGGGGGAAUAAAGCGGGCAGUGUGCUGCGAGGGGAGCCGGCAGCACCGGCCAGAUCAACCGGGGAACAAUGAUAAACCCUCGGGGACAGCGGGGCUGGGGAGGAGCUGGCGCCGGGCCGGGGUCCUCGGUGGGACGGGCUCACAAUCAGGGGCACCUCUGGGUGAUGGGGGGGACACACACGGGGCAGGGCAGGGCACGGGUGCCAUCGGGGACCACUCCGGUGCCACCAUCUCUCUCUCUCUGUCCCCAGCGCUCAAGAAGUCGUUUGAGGCAGAAGAUGGGGACGAGGCCCCCGGCUCCUUGCUGUCCCCAGGCGAGAGCCACCAGCCCCUGCAGCCCGGCCACCCGCCCCGCCUGGGCCCCGUGCCCAGCCCCGUGCUGCGGACCCGCCUCGGCUCCGGCCCGGCCACCGGCAGAGCCAACGGCACCGGUGGCACCGGCAUCGCCCGCGCCGCCUCCUUCCCGAGCCGCCAGGCCUCGGCCGCGGGCCCGGGCAGCGACGGGGAGAGCCAGCGCAGCUCCUCCUCCAGCCUGGAGAGCCCCGCGCCCACCGGGCCCCCCCAGCCCCCGGGCAGCCCCCCGGCCGCCAGCCCCGGCCUGAAGAAGGUCCCGUCCCACGGCAGCGUGUUCCCGGUGGAGCUGGACCAUCCCCUCCGCGGGGCCAGCCACGGCUCUCUGCCGGCGCUGGACCUGCACAUCGCCGAGGAGCCGGGCCUGGGCACGCAGCCCUGGGGCACACAGAGCUCUGCAGCGCAGCCGCGCACCCAGCAGCCUUCCUCCUCAUCCUCCUCCUCCGCCCUGCCCCCGUACGAUGGCACAGAGACAGCCCCGGGGCUGCCCCCGGCUCCCCGCGCGGUGUCGCGGCCCCAGCGCAGGGUCCCCCUCAGCCCCAGCCCGUCCCGCCGAGUCCCUGCCCAGCCCUGGGCACCGGGGGAGGCGGCUGAGGGCAGGGCAGGGGCGCUGCCAGCCCUGCCAGCCCCCCAGGCCGCCACCUUCAGGCUGGUGUCGCAGCCUCAGACGGUGCAGGUGAGCUCGCAGCCCGCCUUCCUGGGGGGGCUGGUGCUGCUGCCGGCCCCGGGCCCCCUCCCCAGCGCCGGGCAGGUGGCCCCGCGGGGACCCUGCGUGGUGGCAGCGGCUCCCGGCGAGCCUGCGGACGGCAGCGGGGCAGCGGUGACACCGGAGCACGGUAGGACUCGUUCCUGUCCCCGUCCCUCUCUCCCCCUCGGCGGGCGCAGGAGCCGAUGGCGGGAGGAGCGCGCAGUGACGGCGGCUCUGGGGACCGGCUGCUCGCUGCUCCCCGUGCCGGCUGUGGGAGCCGAGCGGAGCUGGCGGCGCUCCCGGCCCGCCCGUCCCCGCGGUGCUGGCGGCGCUCCCGGCCCGCCCGGCGCUGGAGCAGGUCGGGGCCCAUGA
Molecule: long non-coding RNA, 1545 nt
Filed under: Junco hyemalis (dark-eyed junco)
Lineage: Eukaryota; Metazoa; Chordata; Aves; Passeriformes; Passerellidae
Description: lncRNA (ENSJHYG00000017727.1)
Source: RNAcentral